CCUACGGGACGCAGCAGUAGGGAAUCUUCCACAAUGGACGAAAGUCUGAUGGAGCAACGCCGCGUGAGUGAAGAAGGGUUUCGGCUCGUAAAGCUCUGUUGGUAGUGAAGAAAGAUAGAGGUAGUAACUGGCCUUUAUUUGACGGUAAUUACUUAGAAAGUCACGGCUAACUACGUGCCAGCAGCCGCGGUAAUACGUAGGUGGCAAGCGUUGUCCGGAUUUAUUGGGCGUAAAGCGAGUGCAGGCGGUUCAAUAAAGCUUAUUUGAAAAGCUUCGGGUCCAACCGGGGAUU
This 292-nucleotide ribosomal RNA is filed under the name uncultured bacterium. RNAcentral describes it as "partial 16S ribosomal RNA". It matches the Rfam family "Bacterial small subunit ribosomal RNA", at positions 338 to 621 of the family's 1533-position model. The record is from RNAcentral.